CAGGUGUCAGGAGGAAUUGCUCUGACUGCUAGAUGACAGACAGGGAACAAACAGACUUAUUCGGACUGCUGACUAAUGAGAUGGAUGACUCUGAAGACUUUUAGUCCAGCAUUUGCUGGCUCUUGCACUCAAAAGAAGGUUGUGUUCUCCUUGGACAUCCAAGUAAACCACAUGGUCAUCCGUAAGAUAGGAGAGAGACUAAAGGUUAAAUUCCAUCAUUUCUAACAGGCACUCCCGAUUGGUUCCUAUUGAGGCAGAAAGACAGAUCACAGACUGCAGACAGACGGACAAACAUGGACGCCCCCUCCUUGCUGCUCUGCCCUCUUCUCAUCCUCCUGUACUGCCUUCCUUCCUGCCUCUCCGACAUGCUUUGCCCAAAACGAUGCACCUGCCAGAACCUGCUGCCAUCCUACACGGUGCUCUGUGCCAAGACGGGCCUGCUCUUUGUCCCGCCCAACAUUGAUCGGCAGACAGCUGAGCUCCGGCUGAUGGACAACUUCAUCACCACACUGAGGCACCGGGACUUUGCCAACAUGACCAGCCUGAUCCACCUAACCUUGAGCCGAAACACGAUCAGCCAGAUCAGGCCAUACACCUUUGCAGACCUGCAAGACCUCCAUGCCCUUCACCUGGAUGCUAACCGCCUCACUGUUCUGGACGACUCACACUUCCAGGGCCUGGUGAACCUGAGGCACUUGAUUCUAGCCAACAACCAGCUGCACAGCAUAUCAGAGGGGGCCUUUCAGGACUUCCUGGAGACCCUGGAGGACCUGGACCUGAGUUACAACAACCUGGUGGACAUCCCCUGGGACACCAUUGCUCUGCUGGUCAGCGUCAACACCCUGAGCCUGGACCACAACCUGAUUGAGAGCGUCCCUGAGGGAAUCUUCUCUAAUCUCCACAAACUGGCCAGACUGGAUAUGACAUCCAACAAGCUGAAAAAAAUACCUCCAGACCCCUUGUUCCUCCGGAUCCCGGUCUACGCCAAGAUGAAGGGUUCUCCUCUCACAGCGUUGGUGUUGAGUUUCGGGGGGAACCCUCUUCACUGUAACUGUGAGCUGGUGUGGCUUCGAAGGCUGACCAGAGAGGACGACCUGGAGACCUGUGCCUCACCCAAGGAUCUGGCCGGCAAAUACUUCUGGACCAUACGAGAGGAAGAAUUUGUCUGUGAGCCACCCAUGAUCACUCGUCACACCUCUAAGAUGUUUGUGAUGGAGGGUCAGGAAGUCAGCCUCCGCUGUAAGUCCAUUGGGGAUCCAGAACCAUCCACACACUGGGUCAGCCCUGACGGAAAGCUGAUCGGAAACACUUCCAGAACCGUUUGCUAUGAGAACGGGUCACUUGACAUCCUGAAGGCCUCAGUUAAGGAUUCUGGAAAGUUUACCUGCAUAGCAUCAAAUGCUGCCGGUGAGGCCACUGCUCCCGUUGAAUUAGUUGUCAACCCUUCUCCACACUUUGACCCCAAACUGGACCCUGACCCAGGGCCCUCAGACAUCCCAACAUCCAUAAAAUCUAACGUCAGCGGAGGCCAGCCCAGGUCCGACCAGCAGAGGGUCAGCGUUUCGGACGUUACCUCCAGCUCUGCCAUUAUCAGGUGGCCGCCUCAGAACCACAUACCAGGGGUUCGCAUGUACCAGAUCCAGUAUAACAGCUCCACCGAUGAUAUCCUGAUAUACAGGAUGAUUCCAGCAAAUCACAAGUAUUUCUUGCUCAGUGACCUGGCAUCGUCACGGGAUUAUGAGCUGUGUGUUCUGGCUGUUUACGAUGAUGGCAUCACCACCCUGACGGGAACUAAGCUGGUGGGCUGUGUGUCCUUCGUCACAGACUCAGAGUACGGACGCUGCCACUCUAUACGAGAUCAGUUCUUGGGCGGCACCAUGAUCAUUAUCAUCGGUGGGAUCAUUGUGGCCUCUGUGCUCGUCUUCAUCUUCAUCCUCCUCAUGAAGUACAAGCUCCACAGUAACCACUACAAGCAGAAGGCUGCAACGCGCCAAGCCAACGUCUGUUCGCAGACCAAUGGUGGUGGAGGAGGAGGUGGAGCAAACAUCCUAGCUCUGCCUCCAUCCUCCUCAGCAGGGCAAGGCACUAAUAAAAACUGUCAGCCAUCCUCAUCAGUAGAUGGAGCAGCUUCUCUCAGAGGGACCACUGUGGUGGACUUGAACCCUGCUCAUAAUGAUGACACCAUCUCCCAAUAACACAGAAGGAACUGUUGAUCCCCCUCCUCCCCCCAAUAAACACACCCAGCAAACUCCAGAACCAACACCUCCCCAUGCCACUCCAAACUCUUCUUUUUUUUUCCUUUCUCUUUUUGCUCGUGCCUGGAGUCCAACUGGACUUUCCUUCAGGGAGCAACUCUAGUCAUUGAUUUACCCACUCUUUGCAUCAGUGCUGGAGAGAGAGGAGGAGGAAGAGGUGCUCUCUGGAUUCUAUCAUCACCUUCAGGGAAACGUGAAGAACCUUUGAGCAGAUAAAACGAGCCUAUCCAACUUGUGGACGUUUAGACGGAUGUCCGCCCCUGGCUAUGUUCUGUCCUUUGGAUCAGAGGACUUUCUGAUGGUCAGUGCUGACCAAGGAGAGCUCUGCACAACGUGUGUUGGAUUCAGACUCUGGGUGUGACCGUUGGAAUCCAAACAUGAUUAGCACCUGGAAGGCCUCUGUGACCAUCAGUAAAACUUUUCAAGAUGUUCUCAGAUGUUGAUGGCACCUCUCAUAUCCUCUCCUCAUUAAACAGUCAUAUGCCAAAGGGUUACAACAAUGCAUUAUGACAUUAUUUGUAGAAAUCUCUGACUUAUGAAAGCACACCUUUUAUUUUAUUUACCCUGUGUCAGGCCUUGGACUAAGAAACAAGCACACUGUCAACAUCGUCUCAAUGCAUUGAUAAUAAUACUCAGUCGAUGUAAAGUUGAACUUCUAUGGCACUUUAAACAAGUUUUCAUUUCAUCUCUGCCCUCUCUUCACACUCUCCCUGUUUAAGGAACAAAAAAUCAAGUUUUUUUGUUAUGGAUGUGGAAGAUAAUGUUGAAAUAAUUGAUAUGUUUGUAUCCAUGGUGGGUUGGUUCUCUCAAUGUUGGAGUAAAAGAAAAUAUCAAGUUUUUGUUUCCCGAAGAUGAAGCCUUGAGGAGCUCAAAAAAUAAGCAUAAAGCACACGUAAAACUGCACAAACCGGAAAUGUUGAACUUGAACAAUGAUGUUUCAGUUGAUGGCAGUAUUGGGGGGUCGAUGUAUGAAGGGGUUUUAAAAGAUGGUGGGAGAACCCGCGUUGUCUCCUCCUUCCCUUCCUCUCUCCUUUUGCUGUUUGACAGUGUCUGUGUUUGUAUGUGACAUACACCUAACAGUCUUCGAUGAUUUGAUAACCAUAAUUUAAUUUGAAUAUAACAAAACAAACAAAAACAACAAAAAAAACACAGUAACAUGUAAAAUGGGAAUUUUAUGCUUUCAUAGACACAAAUAUGUGGAUUUAUAAUAAAAUAAAAAG
RNA transcript from Cyprinodon variegatus (sheepshead minnow), 3475 nucleotides. It is a transcript of the gene named leucine-rich repeat and fibronectin type III domain-containing protein 1-like protein, with no coding region annotated. The transcript is spliced from 14 exons. The record is from RefSeq and is a predicted model, not a curated record. Lineage: Eukaryota; Metazoa; Chordata; Actinopteri; Cyprinodontiformes; Cyprinodontidae.